UUCUUCUAUGUUUAGCAAACUCACAUACGUCACAUUUGAAUUCAGAUGCAUUCAGAUUGUGAAAUAAGGAAACAAAGUUUUUAGAGUCAAAAAAGAGGAAUGUCCUAAUCUUCAAUGUUGAAACUAAAUUUUGUCCAUGUUUGACAGGUGGAGAUCCUUAGUAAUACUACUUUGAUCUACUGCUUUGUUAGAUUGGCUUGGAAGUUCUAGAUAAUAGAGUUCGCUCCAUUCUUUAGCAUGUCCAAUCGUCCUCCCAAAUGUCUUGUCAAAGAAAAGACAAGUAUUAAGAUCAAAGUUGACAUUACCUAGAUCUUGUGUAAGUUUACUAAUAGACAUGAGGCUAGAGGUUAACAUAAGUACAUUUUUCAGAACGAUGUCUGGUGAUAAUUAGAUAUUUCUUAGUUCAAUAAUUGUGACAGAAGAUCCUCCAAUUGUGGUGAUUUUUCUAUUACUAGGAAAAGGGGCAUAGGAGUUGAACAAAUGAGAGGUAUAGGUUAUGUGGUCUGUGGCACCUGAAUCCGCUAUCUAGAGUGAAGGUUUACUAUUUAUAUAAGCACUAAAUCUAGUAAAAGUAAGAGACUUUCUUGAACAAGCAAGUGCCAAUGAGGCUUCCAUGCUAACUUGCUUUUGAUCUGAGGUAAUAUUUUCUUCUGGUUGUGCCACAGUGAAAUGGACUUGGUCUCCUACCCUUUGUUAUCCCUUUACAUGAUGUGGAGGCCUCCGAUGUAGCUUAUUACAUCUAUCAAUUGUGUGACUCGGUUUUCUGCGGUAGGUACACCACAUCGUGUCUUGAAAGUCACUACUAUGAGUCUUUUCUAAUCUUGGAGAUCGACCUCUGAAUUUUGUAUUAUUGCUGUUAUAAUUUUUUCCACCUUUAGCCACAAAUGCUGAACUAUCCAUAUUUCCAGAACCAAGCAUCAAAUUUCAACUUUCUUCUUCCAUAAUUAAGGAGAUUACUUCAUUUAGAGGAGGUAACUUUUNNNNNNNNNNNNNNNNNNNNACCUCUGAAUUUUGUAUUAUUGCUGUUAUAAUUUUUUCCACCUUUAGCCACAAAUGCUGAACUAUCCAUAUUUCCAGAACCAAGCAUCAAAUUUCAACUUUCUUCUUCCAUAAUUAAGGAGAUUACUUCAUUUAGAGGAGGUAACUUUUCCCUUCCUAGGAUUUGAAUUCUAACUUGAUCAUUUUCAGAAUUCAAUCCUACAAGAUAUUCAUAUGUUUGAUC
This 1222-nucleotide long non-coding RNA is filed under the name Spirodela polyrhiza (greater duckweed). RNAcentral describes it as "long non-coding RNA (SPOL_LNC001855)". The record is from RNAcentral. Lineage: Eukaryota; Viridiplantae; Streptophyta; Magnoliopsida; Alismatales; Araceae.